GAGCAACUUCUCCACACAUACAAUGCCAAUUACAAGCAAAUCAUUACAUCAAAAAAGAUUCAUGAGUUUGCAUAAGAGCGAACUGUAGUGUCUACAGUCAGGCUUGCUGUUUCCUAGACUUGACCACACCGAAUACCUGGCCUUGAUUCUUUGCAAUCACACCGUGCUGUUCUAUAUCCAUGUCAGAGAAUCAUUGAGACCACCAUCGCCAUAUCGUUUUAUUGUACAAGGUUAUUCAAUAUCUUUGAUGUUUAAGACCCCUGAUGAAGUCCAGUAGGACGAAACGCGUUGGAUUACUCAUGGUUGUGAGAUCAUCAAAACAGCUUUUGAGUGGUCAUUGGAUUAAGAAAUACCACAUAUAACACAUCAUUUAUGUUUUAAAGUAUUAAGCUUUUAAUAUUGAUGUAAAUAUUUUACAAAAAUUGUACAUUUUGUGUUUUAU
Molecule: long non-coding RNA, 442 nt
Organism: Pseudophryne corroboree (corroboree frog)
Lineage: Eukaryota; Metazoa; Chordata; Amphibia; Anura; Myobatrachidae
Exons: 4
Source: RefSeq, a predicted model, not a curated record